Molecule: small nuclear RNA, 61 nt
Filed under: Capra hircus (goat)
Lineage: Eukaryota; Metazoa; Chordata; Mammalia; Artiodactyla; Bovidae
Source: RNAcentral
NAGAUUAGCAUGGCCCCUGUGCAAGGAUGACAUGCAAAUUCAUGAAGCGUUCCAUAUUAAA